GCCAUUUCUUGGGCUGCUCCCAUGGCAUAUGGAGAUUCCCAGGCUAGGGGUCUAAUCGGAGCCGUAGCCACCAGCCUACACCAGAGCCACAGCAACGCAUGAUCCGAGCCGCGUCUGCAACCUGCACCACAGCUCACGGCAAGGCCAGAUCAUUAACCCACUGAGCAAGGGCAGGGACCGAACUGGCAACCUCAUGGUUCCUAGUCGGAUUCGUUAACCACUGCACCACAACAGGAACUCCAGGAACUGAAUUUUAAUUAAGUUUAAAUUUGAAUAUCCAUGUGGCUAGUGGCCACCAUAUUGGACAGAACAGAUACAAAACAUUUCCAUCACUUCCGCAGGAGGUUCUGUAGACAGCAUUGCUAUAGAAGACAUCUAGCCAAUUCCAGAAGCCUCAUCUCAUAGCUAUAGGCCAUCUUAAAUUUAUUGUUGGGCUGCCCUUCAAAACGAAAAUCCAUAUAAACGUUUUUUCUUUUCUUUUUUCUUUUUGUCUUUUCCAGGGCUGCUCCCUCAGCAUAUGGAGGUUCCCAGGCUAGGGGUCUAAUCGGAGCUGUAGCCGCCAGCCUAUGCCACAGCCACAGCAACACCGCUUCCAAGCCGCAUCUUCGACCUACACCACAGCUCACGGCAAUGCUGGAUCCCCAACCCACUAGGCAAGGCCAGGGAUCAAACGUGCAACCUCAUGGUUCCUAGUCGGAUUCGUUAACCACUGAGCCACAACGGGAACUCCUCUUUUGCUUUUUUCUUUUUUAGAAAUUCAGAGCACAUCUUUCCAUAGAUGAGCCAAGGAAAAGCCUUAGCGGGAGUUCCUGUUGUGGCUUAGUGGGUUAAGAACUUGACAUAGUAUCUUUGAAGAUGUGGGUUUGAUCCAUGGCCUCACUCAGGGGCUAAGGAUCCUGCAAGGCCACAAGCUGUGGUGUAGGUCACAGAUGCGGUUCACAUCUGGUGUUGCCAUGGCUGUGGUAUAGGCUGGCAGCUGCAGCUCUGAUUCAACCCCUAGCCUGGGAAUUCCAUAUGCUGCAGGUGCAGCUGUAAAAAGAAAAGAAAAAAGAAAAGCGCUAGCAAUCCAUCAUCAUUGAGCCAAGAUGUAACAUAAAUGAUGGGCCAGAUACUGAACUCUAAAAGUAGCUCAUAAUCUAUGAUAUAACUAAUAAACAUCGUGACGACAGGAAGCACUGGAAGCAGGGGAUCAGAAACCAGUCCUGGUGAGGUCAGCGAAGGAAUUCUGGAGAAUGAAAAAGCUAAGAGGUGGCCAGACCAAGAAGGGUGAGAUAGAACACAGGCAGAGAAAGAAAGAUGUUACCGGCAGAGGGAGAAGUAUGCCCAGAGGAAAGGUUAAGAGCUUUUGAGUAAAGUGAUGCCAUGUGAUGGAAUUUGUGGGAGCCUAUGGGAGAAGGCAGAAAAGAAGGCAGUGGCCAAGCCAAGUCCUACUGGGCCUAAUAUGUCAUCAUAACAGCUUGUUCGUGUGUAGUGUCAGGAUUGGUUGGAACACAAAUAAUAAAGGCCCAGUAAUAAUGCCUAAGAUUCCAAUCACCAAUUAAGAUGAUCAGAAUGGGUUUCCCACACAUGUCCAAGCAAUUCUCAGACAUACCAGCGGGCUGCCCUACAAUUCCACUCUAUUCUGACACUAUCUACCUGGAGGUAGCAUCAGAUCCCACUGCCUAAGGGCUCAGUCCCACAAGACGGCCCACUACUUCCAAUGCCAAUCACGAGUCUAGUUUGUUACCUGUGCUUUUGACCAACUGGCUUAAAUCAGAGGUUCCCAAGACCUUAGGCUUGGAAGUGAUUAAUUAGUUACAAUCAAAUGUUAGGAAAAUUAAAAAAAAAACUCAGAAAAAUGGGCAAAAUUUAACAGAAACUUCAUAAAAUUAUUAUUAUUAUUACUAUUAUUAUUUUGGUCUUUUGUCUUUUUAGGGCCUCAUCUGUGGCAUAUGGAGGUUCACAGGCGAGGGGUCUAAUCAGAGCUGUAGCCGCCAGCCUAUGCCACAGACACAGCAAGGCCGGAUCCGAGCCGCUUCUGUGACCUAAACCACAGCUCACGGCAACAUCAGAUCCUUAACCCACUGAGCAAGGCCAGGGAUCGAACCUGCAACCUCAUGGUUCCUAGUCGGAUUCCUUAACCACUGAGCCACGACAGGAACUCCCACAUUUUUUUUAUAAAGUUAUUUCUAAAUAACCUAUAGAUAUAUGAAAAGGUAUUCAACUUCAUUAAUCAGGGAGGUGCAAAUUAAAAUCACAGGAGAUACAAUUAUCACCUAUCAAAAUGGCCAAAAAAAGAUGGGAAAUAACCAAUGUUGAGAAUGUGGAAUGACCAACUCUCAUAUGUUGCUGAUCAGGGUGUAAAUUGGCACAAACACUUUGGAAAAUUGCUUUAAAAUAUCUACUACAUUUGAACAUGGCACAAUUACAAUCCAACAAUUCCACUUCUGUGUAUAUACCCAAUAUGAUGUGUGUACUUCUCUGUAGGUAUGAAUAUUUCAACAAACAGCACACUCUGCCAGAAAGUGGCAAUAAGGAGCCACGGAAGGAUUUGACAUUUCAGAGACUUGAGAAGGAUUUGAGAGACAUGAUCAGAUUUACAUUAGGGAGAUUAAUCCUUGGCUUUUAGAGGAUGGCAAGGAGAGGAGUUAAGGGGCUUUUUGUAGAAGUAAUCCAGCAAUUACAAAGUCCCAAAUUAAAGUAAGGGAGAGAAGUUCCUGUUGUGGUGCAGCGGAAACGAAUCCGACUAGGAACCAUGAGGUUGCAGAUUCCAUCCCUGACCUCCUUCAGUGGUUUAAGGAUGCAGUGUUGCCUGAGCUGUGGUGUAGGUCACAGACACGGCUUGGAUACCACAUUGCUGUGGCUGUUGUGUAGGCAGGCAGCUACAGCUCCAAUUGGACCCCUAGCCUGGGAACCUCAUAUACUAUGAGUGCGGCCCUAAAAAGCAAAAAAAAAAAAAAAAAAAAAGUAAGACGGAUGAAAGGGACAGACUAGAGUUCAUAUUUGGGGAGCAAACUCAGAACGUGGGUAGGUCACAAAAUUCCCCUGUGCUGCUGCUGCUUUUUUUUUUUUUUUUAAACUUUUUAGGGCCACACCCACAGCUUAGGGAGGUUCCCAGGCUAGGGGUGGAAUGUGAGCUGCAGCUCCUGGCCUACACCACAGCCACAGCAGUGCCAGAUCUGAGCUAAGUCUGUGACUUACGCCACAGCUUUCAGCAAUGCUAGAUCCCCCACCACUGAGGGAGGCCAGGGAUGGAACCCACAUCCUCAUAGAUACUAACUGGAUUCCUUUCCGCUGCUCCACGACGGGAACUCCGUAAAUUCCCCUGAGCUUCUGAUUUCUUCACAUGAAAAAAAUAUUAACAGUACCUAUUUCAUUGAUGAUUAUUUUGAUGAUUUAAGAGUUAAGCACAGGGGGCUUAGCGAUUUUUUUUUUUUUUAAAGCGCCAUUUUCAGAGUUCCCAUUCUGGCUCAAAGGGUUAAAAACCAGACUAGUAUCUGUGAGAAAGCUGGUUCAAUCCCUGGCCUAGCUCAGUGGGUUAAGGAUCCUGUGUUUCCCCAAGCUGCAACGUGGGUCGCAAGUGUGGCUUGUUUCUGGUGUGGCUGUGACCGUGUCUGGCUGGCAGCUGCCGCUGGGAUUUGACCACUAGCUUGGGAACCAACAUAUGCCAUAGGAGCGGCCCUAAAAAUAAAAUAAAAUAAAAAUUUAAAAAGUAAAAAAAAAAAAAAUAAAAAAAUAAAAGAAAUUUCCAUUCAAUUCUCCUUGCAUACUAUUAGAAAUUGAGAUUAGAAAGCUUUUAGAGAAGUACCUUAAUUUGUCAAGGUCCACGGAAGCAUGCAUCCUCCCAAGCAGAGGCAAAAUCAGCUCCCUGCGUAGGACUGGGUAAGUUUGGGGUCACAGGUUAGAAGGCCCUGGUUAAGGAUGAGACAGAAGAUGUCAGAAUCAGGCCCUGAAACAGUCCUAAAAGGCCACGGAUGAAGUGUUGGGAUUCUACUCAGGCUGCUGGACCACCUGCGCUAGAAACUGGAGGCAAGCAUAGGCAUUUUCUCUCUGGCUCCCCACCUUCCCAGCUC
This 4052-nucleotide long non-coding RNA is filed under the name Sus scrofa (pig). RNAcentral describes it as "lncRNA (ENSSSCG00000053874.1)". The record is from RNAcentral. Lineage: Eukaryota; Metazoa; Chordata; Mammalia; Artiodactyla; Suidae.